GGAUUUUCCACCUAGUGGCAAACGGGUGAGUAACACGUGGGUUACCUACCUCUAAGUUGGGGAUAACAGUUGGAAACGACUGAUAAUACCGAAUGUGCUCUACGGAGUAAAGAAGCCCUUAAAGCUUCGCUUAGUGAUGGGCCUGCGGCGUAUUAGCUAGUUGGUGGGGUAACUGCCUACCAAGGCGACGAUGCGUAGCCGAACUGAGAGGUUGAUCGGCCACACUGGGACUGAGACACGGCCCAGACUCCUACGGGAGACAGCAGUUAGGAAUAUUCGUCAAUGGGGGAAACCCUGAACGAGCAAUGCCGCGUGAACGAUGAAGGCCCUAUGGGUUGUAAAGUUCUGUUGUUUGGAAAGAACUGUAAGAUUAGGAAAUGAUUCUUACUUGACGGUACCAUUCAAGAAAGCCACGGCUAACUGCGUGCCAGCAGCCGCGGUAAUACGUAGGUGGCGAGCGUUAUCCGGAUUUAUUGGGCGUAAAGGGAGUGUAGGCGGUUUGUUAAGUAUAAAAUUAAAGCCCGAAGCUUAACUUCGGUUCGUUUUAUAAACUGGCAGACUUGAGUACAGUAGAGGCAAACGGAAUUCCUAGUGUAGUGGUAAAAUGCGUAGAUAUUAGGAGGAACACCGGUGGCGAA
Molecule: ribosomal RNA, 638 nt
Filed under: uncultured rumen bacterium
Lineage: Bacteria
Description: bacterial SSU rRNA
Rfam family: Bacterial small subunit ribosomal RNA
Source: RNAcentral